CUAGCUGAAAAGUAACAAGCCAACAUUAGACUACAGUUAGCAUGAGCUAGCUAACAUUCUUACAGUAACUUGUCCUCUUUUUGUGUGUAGCCUACUUUAGUUAGCUAGCUAGUUGUUGACAGGCAGAGUGUGACAUUUCUUACACAAUGUCUAGUCUUCCAAUGCCAUGAAGAAAUAUCAAUCAAAAAGCACGUUAGCCGCACAAUAAAUCAAGCCAGACCGAACAGACAUGGGUCUAGUUGUGUUUAACGUCCCAACGCACAUGCUCAUCCAAUGACUUUUUGUUGUCACCUCAGUUUGUCACCCUGCUCACCUGGUGAACUGAAAGAAGAAAUCAGUGGGAAGAAAGAAAUGUCAAUGUCGAGCUCCAACACACCAUAUUGUGUCCUGGGGGAGGUGUUCAGCCAGAUGACCGCGGGCUGAUUGGGAUGUGCCGGUGCUGCAGGUGACAUGGCAGGGGGCUGAGGCUUUGCACUUUGUGGGUUCAGUCCUAAAGGUGGGCCAGGAGGUGCAACUGAAGAUGGACUGGGAGUGGAGGUUUGACCACAUGCAGCAACACUUAGGGUCCAUAGCAGGUCCACGCCUAGAGCCUUCAGCAGCACGUAGAAGCCCACAGCGAUGGAGAGCAGAAAGAGGGUGGUGUAGAAGUACUUCUUCAGACUGGCUCCGUAGAUCCACUGGGUUCUGUUGAACGCCUCGGCCACAACCAUACCUGGAAAUCAAAUAGAAAACAUGACUUGGUGGGGGAAGUGGGCAGCAAUGAAGACUCUGGAGAGACACACACAGACCUGGACCGCCCAGAAGAACGCCCACAGAGUGCCUCGUAGAUACCUGCCCAGACAAGGGGAGAGGGAGAGGAACCAUCAGCAAAUGCAUCUUUAGGCAUUUUUGAAUCUGCCUGGCUGCUAAGAGACUGCAUAAUAAAUAACAAGUAAAUGUGCAAAUAAAUAUUAUUCACAGCAGGGGAAUUUGUUUUUCCUGUGUCACUAGAGGUGAAUAGGCUUCUACUGAUACAUGUAAAUCAUUUUAAUCGACUGUUGCUUCCUUUGAUUUGACAACAAAACCACUCGAACGGAAUCUUUUGCACAUCCCCUUCCCUUCGACUAACUGAAGUUAGUUUUCAGGGUAAAUCAUCAACUACAGUGCUGCACAGACAAGUAAGCAUAAAACUGACAAGCACUGAACGAAAAAUGGCAAACAAGAACAAGAUCAUUGAGGACAAGAGGGGUUGAAUGUUCUGGAACUUACAGGCCCUUGGAGGAAGAUCCCGUCUUAUUCUUGGUCAGCAUGAUGGCUAGAAUGGAGGUAACCAGUGUGUAGUAGACGCCUGCAGCUCCCAUAGCGUGGCCAGAGGGACUGCCUACCAGGCACGCAGACAGAAAGGCAUACUUCAGUCAAUGGCCAUAGCACUUUAUUCAAGUAAAAUGAAAAUCCAACACAAUGCUGUACAAUAUCGUAAACCAUAAAUAUUCUCAACAUCAUUACUUAUAAAACGUUGGCUAUUUUCACUGAAUCAUAGCAUAUCACUCCCAUAAACUUUUAUUUCGACCGUGAAGCGAAAACUUUUAAUUUGGUUCUAUACUCCAGCAUUUUGGAUUUUAGAUCAAAUGUUGAGGAAAUUGUUGCCUCAUAUGAUACGUUUCAGAUUAUGUUGUGCCCAAUAGAAAUGAAUGGUAAAUAAUGUAUUGUGUCAUUUUGCGUAAAAAUGUUUGUAAAGUGCUUUCAAUAAAGUGGUUUCAUUUCCAAAUGCUAAAA
Long non-coding RNA from Oncorhynchus nerka (sockeye salmon), 1755 nucleotides. RefSeq lists it as uncharacterized. NCBI's taxonomy places the organism in Eukaryota, Metazoa, Chordata, Actinopteri, Salmoniformes, Salmonidae. The transcript is spliced from 5 exons. The record is from RefSeq and is a predicted model, not a curated record.